GGAAAGGUGGCAGAGCGGUUGAAUGCACCGGUUUUGAAAACCGACGUAGUUUAAACUACCGGGGGUUCGAAUCCCUCCCUUUCCG
Bryopsis sp. KO-2023 is the source of this 85-nucleotide non-coding RNA. NCBI's taxonomy places the organism in Eukaryota, Viridiplantae, Chlorophyta, Ulvophyceae, Bryopsidales, Bryopsidaceae. The record is from the annotation of a GenBank genome assembly.